This 408-nucleotide ribosomal RNA is filed under the name uncultured bacterium. Its description in RNAcentral is "partial 16S ribosomal RNA". It matches the Rfam family "Bacterial small subunit ribosomal RNA", at positions 28 to 526 of the family's 1533-position model. The record is from RNAcentral.
GACGAACGCUGGCGGCGUGCUUAACACAUGCAAGUCGAACGGAGUGGCGAACGGGGGAGUAACACGUGGGUGACCUUCCCUGCACUUCGGGGUAAGCCUGGGAAACUGGGUCUAAUACCGGAUAGUGUGGGAUGGGCCCGCGGCCUAGCAGCUUGUUGGUGGGGUAAUGGCCUACCAAGGCGGCGACGGGUAGCCGGCCUGAUAGGGUGGACGGCCACAUGGGGACUGAGAGACGGCCCAGAGGGCUACGGGAGGCAGCAGGGGGGAAUAUUGCACAAUGGGGGGAAGCCUGAUGCAGAGACGCUGGGUGGGUGAUGACGGCCCUCGGGUUGUAAACUCCUUUCGCCAUAGACGCGGUAGAUGGAGAAGAAGCACCGGCUAACUACGUGCCAACAGCCGCGGUAAUUC